GAUGAACGCUGGCGGCGUGCCUAAUACAUGCAAGUAGAACGCUGAAGGAAGGAGCUUGCUCUUUCCGGAUGAGUUGCGAACGGGUGAGUAACGCGUAGGUAACCUGCCUGGUAGCGGGGGAUAACUAUUGGAAACGAUAGCUAAUACCGCAUAACAGUAGAUGUUGCAUGAUAUCUACUUAAAAGGUGCAAUUGCACCACUACCAGAUGGACCUGCGUUGUAUUAGCUAGUUGGUGAGGUAACGGCUCACCAAGGCGACGAUACAUAGCCGACCUGAGAGGGUGAUCGGCCACACUGGGACUGAGACACGGCCCAGACUCCUACGGGAGGCAGCAGUAGGGAAUCUUCGGCAAUGGACGGAAGUCUGACCGAGCAACGCCGCGGGAGUGAGGAAGGUUGUCGGAUCGUAAAGCUCGGUUGUAAGAGAAGAACGAGUGUGAGAGUGGAAAGUUCACACUGUGACGGUAUCUUACCAGAAAGGGACGGCUAACUACGUG
This 497-nucleotide ribosomal RNA is filed under the name uncultured bacterium. RNAcentral describes it as "partial 16S ribosomal RNA". It matches the Rfam family "Bacterial small subunit ribosomal RNA", at positions 28 to 507 of the family's 1533-position model. The record is from RNAcentral.